RNAcentral lists this ribosomal RNA (533 nucleotides) under Streptomyces sp. FXJ1.066. RNAcentral describes it as "bacterial SSU rRNA". It matches the Rfam family "Bacterial small subunit ribosomal RNA", at positions 81 to 628 of the family's 1533-position model. The record is from RNAcentral. Lineage: Bacteria; Bacillati; Actinomycetota; Actinomycetes; Kitasatosporales; Streptomycetaceae.
UUCGGGGUGGAUCAGUGGCGAACGGGUGAGUAACACGUGGGCAAUCUGCCCUGCACUCUGGGACAAGCCCUGGAAACGGGGUCUAAUACCGGAUAUGACCUGAGGAUGCAUGUUCUCGGGUGGAAAGCUCCGGCGGUGCAGGAUGAGCCCGCGGCCUAUCAGCUUGUUGGUGGGGUGAUGGCCUACCAAGGCGACGACGGGUAGCCGGCCUGAGAGGGCGACCGGCCACACUGGGACUGAGACACGGCCCAGACUCCUACGGGAGGCAGCAGUGGGGAAUAUUGCACAAUGGGCGAAAGCCUGAUGCAGCGACGCCGCGUGAGGGAUGACGGCCUUCGGGUUGUAAACCUCUUUCAGCAGGGAAGAAGCGCAAGUGACGGUACCUGCAGAAGAAGCACCGGCUAACUACGUGCCAGCAGCCGCGGUAAUACGUAGGGUGCGAGCGUUGUCCGGAAUUAUUGGGCGUAAAGAGCUCGUAGGCGGCUUGUCGCGUCGGAUGUGAAAGCCCGGGGCUUAACUCCGGGUCUGCAUUC